This 387-nucleotide ribosomal RNA is filed under the name uncultured bacterium. Its description in RNAcentral is "bacterial SSU rRNA". It matches the Rfam family "Bacterial small subunit ribosomal RNA", at positions 28 to 417 of the family's 1533-position model. The record is from RNAcentral.
GACGAACGCUGGCGGCGUGCUUAACACAUGCAAGUCGAGCGGUAAGGCCCUUUCGGGGGUACACGAGCGGCGAACGGGUGAGUAACACGUGGGUGACCUGCCCUUAGCUCUGGGAUAAGCCUGGGAAACUGGGUCUAAUACCGGAUAUGACUCCAUGACGCAUGUUGUGGGGUGGAAAGCCUUGUGCGGCUAGGGAUGGGCCCGCGGCCUAUCAGCUUGUUGGUGGGAUGAUGGCCACCAAGGCGACGACGGGUAGCCGGCCUGAGAGGGCGACCGGCCACACUGGGACUGAGACACGGCCCAGACUCCUACGGGAGGCAGCAGUGGGGAAUCUUGCGCAAUGGGCGAAAGCCUGACGCAGCGACGCCGCGUGAGGGAUGACGGCCU